UAAGUUUUUCCACUAUAUCUGUGUUGACAUUAAAUCCACAGAUAGUGGUAAGACUUGAC
This 59-nucleotide microRNA precursor is filed under the name Saccoglossus kowalevskii. RNAcentral's name for it is "Sko-Mir-4839_pre stem-loop". Lineage: Eukaryota; Metazoa; Hemichordata; Enteropneusta; Harrimaniidae. The record is from RNAcentral.